UACGUAGGGGGCAAGCGUUGUCCGGAUUUAUUGGGUUUAAAGGGUGCGUAGGCGGUCCUAUAAGUCAGUGCUGAAAUAUCCCGGCUUAACCGGGAGGGUGGCAUUGAUACUGCAGGACUUGAGUAAAGUUGAGGUAGGCGGAAUUGACGGUGUAGCGGUGAAAUGCUUAGAUAUCGUCAAGAACACCGAUAGUGAAGACAGCUUACUAAACUUUAACUGACGCUGAGGCACGAAAGUGUGGGGAUCAAACAGG
RNAcentral lists this ribosomal RNA (253 nucleotides) under uncultured bacterium. Its description in RNAcentral is "partial 16S ribosomal RNA". It matches the Rfam family "Bacterial small subunit ribosomal RNA", at positions 524 to 776 of the family's 1533-position model. The record is from RNAcentral.